UGUCCUAAUACUGCAGUCGAGCGGACUUGAUGAGAAGCUUGCUUCUCUGAUGGUUAGCGGCGGACGGGUGAGUAACACGUAGGCAACCUGCCCUCAAGCUUGGGACAACUACCGGAAACGGUAGCUAAUACCGAAUAGUUGUUUUCUUCUCCUGAAGAGAACUGGAAAGACGGAGCAAUCUGUCACUUGGGGAUGGGCCUGCGGCGCAUUAGCUAGUUGGUGGGGUAACGGCUCACCAAGGCGACGAUGCGUAGCCGACCUGAGAGGGUGAUCGGCCACACUGGGACUGAGACACGGCCCAGACUCCUACGGGAGGCAGCAGUAGGGAAUCUUCCGCAAUGGGCGAAAGCCUGACGGAGCAAUGCCGCGUGAGUGAUGAAGGUUUUCGGAUCGUAAAGCUCUGUUGCCAGGGAAGAACGCUUGGGAGAGUAACUGCUCUCAAGGUGACGGUACCUGAGAAGAAAGCCCCGGCUAACUACGUGCCAGCAGCCGCGGUAAUACGUAGGGGGCAAGCGUUGUCCGGAAUUAUUGGGCGUAAAGCGCGCGCAGGCGGUCAUUUAAGUCUGGUGUUUAAUCCCGGGGCUCAACCCCGGAUCGCACUGGAAACUGGGUGACUUGAGUGCAGAAGAGGAGAGUGGAAUUCCACGUGUAGCGGUGAAAUGCGUAGAUAUGUGGAGGAACACCAGUGGCGAAGGCGACUCUCUGGGCUGUAACUGACGCUGAGGCGCG
This 729-nucleotide ribosomal RNA is filed under the name Paenibacillus sp. RNAcentral describes it as "bacterial SSU rRNA". It matches the Rfam family "Bacterial small subunit ribosomal RNA", at positions 45 to 755 of the family's 1533-position model. Lineage: Bacteria; Bacillati; Bacillota; Bacilli; Caryophanales; Paenibacillaceae. The record is from RNAcentral.